UGGGGAAUUUUCCGCAAUGGGCGCAAGCCUGACGGAGCAACGCCGCGUGAGGGAGGAAGGCCUGUGGGUUGUAAACUUCUUUUCUCUAGGAAGAAGUUCUGACGGUACUAGAGGAAUCAGCAUCGGCUAACUCCGUGCCAGCAGCCGCGGUAAGACGGAGGAUGCAAGCGUUAUCCGGAAUUAUUGGGCGUAAAGCGUCCGUAGGCGGUUAUACAAGUCUGCUGUUGAAGAGUGAAGCUUAACUUCAUAAAGGCGGUGGAAACUGCAUAACUAGAGUACGUUCGGGGCAGAGGGAAUUCCUGGUGUAGCGGUGAAAUGCGUAGAUAUCAGGAAGAACACCGGUGGCGAAAGCGCUCUGCUAGGCCGUAACUGACACUGAGGGACGAAAGCUAAGGGAGCGAAUGGGAUUAGAUACCCCCGUAGUCC
This 426-nucleotide ribosomal RNA is filed under the name uncultured prokaryote. RNAcentral describes it as "bacterial SSU rRNA". It matches the Rfam family "Bacterial small subunit ribosomal RNA", at positions 355 to 796 of the family's 1533-position model. The record is from RNAcentral.